This 331-nucleotide unclassified non-coding RNA is filed under the name soil metagenome. Its description in RNAcentral is "partial contains 5.8S ribosomal RNA, internal transcribed spacer 2, and large subunit ribosomal RNA". The stretch from base 5 to 119 matches the Rfam family "5.8S ribosomal RNA", at positions 40 to 154 of the family's 154-position model. The record is from RNAcentral.
GAUGAGAACGUAGUAAAAUGCGAUAAGUAAUGUGAAUUGCAGAAUUCAGUGAAUCAUCGAAUCUUUGAACGCACAUUGCGCCCGCCAGUAUUCUGGCGGGCAUGCCUGUUCGAGCGUCAUUUCAACCCUCAAGCACAGCUUGGUGUUGGGACUCGCGUUAAUUCGCGUUCCCCAAAUUGAUUGGCGGUCACGUCGAGCUUCCAUAGCGUAGUAGUAAAACCCUCGUUACUGGUAAUCGUCGCGGCCACGCCGUUAAACCCCAACUUCUGAAUGUUGACCUCGGAUCAGGUAGGAAUACCCGCUGAACUUAAGCAUAUCAAUAAGCGGAGGA